Molecule: small nuclear RNA, 140 nt
Organism: Pteropus vampyrus (large flying fox)
Lineage: Eukaryota; Metazoa; Chordata; Mammalia; Chiroptera; Pteropodidae
Gene: U4
Rfam family: U4 spliceosomal RNA
About the family: U4 small nuclear RNA (U4 snRNA) is a component of the major U2-dependent spliceosome. The structure of U4 snRNA from yeast and human has been reported. U4 snRNA presents a k-turn RNA motif in the 5p-SL related to recognition of Snu13 protein.
Source: Ensembl
GGCUUUGCACAGUGGCAGUAUUGAAGCCAAUGAGGUUUAUCUGAGGCAUGAUUAUUGCUAAAUGAAAACUAUUUAUUUAUCUACUCUGUGCCAGACACUGUGCUAGGCAGGAAGGAUACAAUGAUACACUUAACAGAAGG